Ctenocephalides felis (cat flea) is the source of this 424-nucleotide long non-coding RNA. RefSeq lists it as uncharacterized. The transcript has 3 exons. Lineage: Eukaryota; Metazoa; Arthropoda; Insecta; Siphonaptera; Pulicidae. The record is from RefSeq and is a predicted model, not a curated record.
GUCCUUUCAACUACUGCUGCUCUGCACACUGACUCCUUCACCAAAAAUCCUUCCAGAAACAUUUCACCAGAUCUUCUCAAUCCAACUAUUACUAGCUGUAACAUCAAGACCUUGGAAUGCCCAUUCAUUUGAAUGACUCGCAAAUGUUUUUUUUUUCAAUAACUGCCUCUAAUUAUGCAUGAUUAACUCAACUUAACUCUUACUAACUCAAUAAAAUGACUAACCUCACUAACUUAAUCAGUUAUUAUAAAAACCACUUAUUGAGUUUUACUAUGAAGAUCGUACUGAGGGUGCUUGAAAAACACAGCUGAAUGAUAAAUCAGGGUAAACGACAACUUAAGACCAAGUAGUCUUCAACUCUCAAGUCACUCAAGGCUUGUUCUUCGGCGAAAAUAGUCGCCUGAUAUACUAAUUAUGAUGUCCC